CGAAUCUAAAUCAGAGAUUGAAACAGGGAGAGCACAGAGUGAUUCAGAUCAGAGGAGUUGUUGUUUUUUAAGCACAGAAACAGAUACAAGGGGAACUUGGGGGCCCGUGCACAACCCUAGUAUGCAUACCCCCAUGGACAUGUUUGUGUCUCUGUGUGUGUUGUAUUUCAGAAUCUGUGGCACAUACACUGGGCAUUUCAUUUAGCUGGUAUUUGCUGCGUGCUAUUAGUUGGGUUCAACUGAGGGCAUCUCAAGGGAUAAUCAGACAAUCUGUUGUACUCGCAAAUGUCCCAAUCUUUCCAAUCAACCAGGGAGACUUGUAAGAACAUUGCAGUUGGGACAGAAGGCGCUGAUGCUAGGGAUUGUUUGGGAAAUAUCCAAAGCAGCCUACGACAAUUUGAUUUGAUUUGCAGUUGGUCCAGGACAGACACAAAGGAAACCCUUCUCCACAUGUUGUUAAGCAAUUCGAGAGACCCAUACUCACAGGCAUCAGGGUAGAUAAUUAAGAUUAAUAGAGGAUAUUAACAGACAAUAAGCAUAUCCAUAACUACUGGGUGAUUGCAAUGGCAAGGAGAGGAAGUUCUGUUCCAAAAGUGGAAGUUCACCUAUUGGUUCCAGCCUAAGCUUUUGCUUCCUAGUGAUCUGGAAGGGUUUGGCAGGAGAGAGAGUGGACACACCUAUGCAGGUGUUAUUGUUGCUUCAAACCAACCAACUAUGACUGUAGGUUUGCUUAGAUCUAGUGCAGAAGAUAUGUGAAAUAAUUAGCAUAUCCCACCUUUUGGACACAGGUUUGGCAUUGCAGAGGUGAAACGGGCCCUAGCAGAAAAUGGACUCUUGCUCAAGACACCUUGCUGACAUAUUAAAAACCAUUUCGUUAUCAUGUACAAAUGUUCAUAAGUAAAGAGAAGCUUAGAGAA
Podarcis raffonei (Aeolian wall lizard) is the source of this 917-nucleotide long non-coding RNA. RefSeq lists it as uncharacterized. NCBI's taxonomy places the organism in Eukaryota, Metazoa, Chordata, Lepidosauria, Squamata, Lacertidae. The transcript has 2 exons. The record is from RefSeq and is a predicted model, not a curated record.